UAAUUUUUUAUUUAUUAUUUUUUUAAUUAUUUAUUUUAUUUGUUGAAAUAUCUUAUUUUUAAUUUAGUAUAUUUAUAGAAUGAUUUAUAUUUAUAAUUAUAGUUUAUUUUACUGUAAGGGUUUAUUAAUAAUUUCUUUUAAGUAUAAAUUUUUUUAGUACCUUUUGUCUCAGGGUUUAUCAAUUUUUAUUAUAAAUUUUAAUUUUCCCGAAAUUAUGAGAGAUAAAUAAUAAUGAUACUUAUUGUUAAAUAAAUAUUUUAAAUUAUUAUUUAGGGGUUAUAUGCUAUUCAAUCUUAAAUAUCUGGUUUCUUAAUAAUUAAAUUUAAUUUAGAAUUAAUUUUGUUCUUUUAUAAUUUUAUUUUAUAGAAUUUUUUAAUUUAAUAUUAAAGGGGAUUAGCUCUUUAUUAAUUUUAUAACUUUUACUUUUUAUAUAGUUUUUAUAGGUUUAAUAAUGACUAUUAUUUAUUUUGUUAUAAUUAAUACUAUUUAUUUAUUUUAUUUUUUAUUUGUUUAGAUUUUUAUUGAGUAUUAUAAAAUAUAUUUUUAUUUUAUGUAAUAAUGAUAAAAUUAGUAGUUUUUAAAAUUAAUUAUAGUAAUUCGGCAAUUCUUAUUUUCGCCUGUUUAACAAAAACAUGUCCUAUUGUUAUUUAUAUAUUUUAGGUUUAACCUGCUCAAUGAUUUAUUAUUAAAUAGCCGCAGUAUUUUAACUGUGCAAAGGUAGCAUAAUCAUUUGUCUUUUAAUUGAAGGCUGGAAUGAAUGGUUGGACGAGAAAUAUACUUUCUUUAUUUAAUUUUAUUGAAUUUAACUUUUUAGUGAAAAGGCUAAAAUUUAUUUGUGGGACGAGAAGACCCUAUAGAAUUUUAUAAAAUUUUUAUUAAUAAUUUUUUAUUUUAAUAAUUUAUUAACUUAAUUUUUAUUUGGUUGGGGUGACUGUAAUAUUUUAAUAACUAUUAUUUUUAAUUUUUCAUUAAUUAAUGUUUUUUUGAUCCUUAAUUAUAUUGGAUUAAAAGAUUAAAUUACCUUAGGGAUAACAGCGUAAUUUCUUUGGAGAGUUCAUAUCGAUGAAGGAGUUUGCGACCUCGAUGUUGGAUUAAAAUUAUUUUUAGGUGUAGGAGCUUAAUUUUUAGGUCUGUUCGACCUUUAAUAUUUUACAUGAUCUGAGUUCAGACCGGCGUGAGCCAGGUUGGUUUCUAUCUACAAUUUUAAUUCUUUAAUAUUUUAGUACGAAAGGACCAUUUAUUAAUAAUAUUUGUUUAUUUAUGAUUUACAUUA
This 1273-nucleotide ribosomal RNA is filed under the name Crompus oculatus. RNAcentral describes it as "16S ribosomal RNA". The stretch from base 1028 to 1186 matches the Rfam family "Archaeal large subunit ribosomal RNA", at positions 2542 to 2701 of the family's 2987-position model. Lineage: Eukaryota; Metazoa; Arthropoda; Insecta; Hemiptera; Lygaeidae. The record is from RNAcentral.